GAAGCAUCAAUAAUGAGCAAGGGAGAUUCUUAACCGACCUCCAGGUUCAAAGAUUUAGACUUUCUCAGCAUGGAUUUCAUCUUCCUGCUUUGCUGAACCAGGCUGAUUUGCUCAAGUUAAAGUUAGAAAGUGGCUGAAUGGAAGGAUUUCUUCUCAAGUUGCAGGGAAUAAGUAGGACAAGAUGAAGAUCCUAAUCCUGACUGUGGCCAUCUUGAAUUUUGUCUCUCACUUCCCGGUCUUAAGCACUGAUAUCACACUCUUCUUAUGCUUUUGGUUAACAAUUCAAGGACAUAGAUCUUCAUUCUUUCCUGACACAGGCUUUUAAAAUGGGUCUGUUUUCACUUUGCUGAUUUUUCUUCAAUAAAUCUUUUUGACGGCAACUGAUUUACUGUGUAUGGAUGUGUUUGAUAUUC
RNAcentral lists this long non-coding RNA (413 nucleotides) under Equus caballus (horse). Its description in RNAcentral is "lncRNA (ENSECAG00000043069.2)". Lineage: Eukaryota; Metazoa; Chordata; Mammalia; Perissodactyla; Equidae. The record is from RNAcentral.